Molecule: long non-coding RNA, 3788 nt
Filed under: Ananas comosus (pineapple)
Lineage: Eukaryota; Viridiplantae; Streptophyta; Magnoliopsida; Poales; Bromeliaceae
Description: long non-coding RNA (ACOM_LNC009563)
Source: RNAcentral
CCCCCCCUUAAAACCUCUCCCCUCCCUCCCUCUCUCUCUCUCUCUCUCUCUCUCUCUCUCUCUCUCUCUCUCUCUCUCCUUAAAACUCCUUGUAUCUCUCUCUAUCUAUCUCUAUACAUGGCUUAAGAAGUAGACUAUGAAUAGAACCUUAUCUCCUAUCCACACUCCUCUCAUCUCUUCUAUACCCUACACCUUUCCUUCACCUACUCAUUCUCUCCUACCCAUUUCAUUCUAGUUCAUUCCUUGUGUCCCAAAUAUAUAAGCUUUUCCCUACGAGCUAGCUAUAUCCAACCCUCUUGCCCUUAGUUAUGUAAAGAAGGAUUAGAUGUGAGGCCCUAGAAGUGCUCUUUUGUAAACUAGCUUCUUUACUCCAAAAGAAGAGAGAGAGAGAGAGAGAGAGAGAGAGAGCAUUGUUUGCUUAUAAAGCUCAUGCUUGAUGGCUCCUAAAGCUGGAAAAGCCAAGCCUCACAAGCCCAAGGGUGAGAAGAAGAAAAAAGAAGAGAAAGGUAACAAUCUCUCUUCUUCUUCUUUUUUGGUUUUUUUUUUUUAUUUUACUCCUCUCUUCCGACCUCAAUUCUAAUCUCUCUCCACACAUCUCUUACAUUAUCUAUUGGUGUAAAAAAAAAAAAAAAAGUAUGGAGAGUCCUUCAACUUAGUCUUUUAUUCAUAUCCUCUUUUAACUUUUCAUUAAAUUCAUCAAAAAUAUUCUAUCAUGCAUAGUAGUUUUAAUUAUUACUCAGUAAACAAAAUUUAGCAAAGUUGAGACGCUGUUUCAGAAUAGAUUUUGUUUGAGAGAUGUUCAUACAUUUUCAGGUAUUAUUAAACUAUUCAAAAUCUGUACGUAUAAUAUGAAACAUUUUCUCUAAAUGGAUACCAUAAAUUUAAAUUGAAAUUUAAUUUAAAUUGCAGUUUUGCCCACCGUUCUCGACGUUACAGUUGAGACUCCGGAUUACGCACAGCUCACGCUUAAGGUAAUAAUUUAUAAUAUAUAUUGCAGUUCUUAUUAUUAUUAUUAUUAUUAUUAUUAUUAUUAUUGUUUUAACACAUAAUUUAGAGUGCGUAUGUUAGCAUGGUGCGCCUCCGGCGCACGAUAAGGUCGACGUGUGAACGCCGUGCGCCCUUUUUUGAUGCAGGGGAUAUCGACGGACAGGAUCUUGGACGUGCGGAAGCUCCUCGCCGUACACGUGGAGACGUGCCACCUCACCAACUACUCGCUGGCCCACGAGGUAAAGGCCUGAUGAUCCGACGGUCACUAUUUGCUUUGAGAUUCGAGUUGGUGAUAGUAGGGGUGUGCAUGUACGGAGCAGGUACGCGGAGCGAGUCUGAAGGAGACGGUCGAGAUCGCCUCACUGAAGCCGUGUCAUCUCACCAUCGUUGAAGGUAAUAUCACACGAUCCCCAUUUGCUCUUUUCGCUGGACCUCGUCUACCACGUCAUCCGUGAACCACGCACCCCUCAACACAAGAAAAAAGUCACAUUAGUGAUGUGUUAUCUUUCAACUAAUCAAAUUACUGGCNAAGUAAAAAAUGAGUGACUAGAGUUUGGAUAUGAAUACGAUGAUUUAUUUACCGUAUUCAACUUAAAAAUAUAAAUAUGAUAUUCACAUGACAAGGAGAGAGCCAUAUGUGUAAAUAUAAAUUUGUUAGGGUGAUUUGUAAAAAAAUUUUGUUUUGAGAGGGGCUAAAUGCAAAAAAGCCCUUGAUCCAAUGCUAUAUAAUGAUUUUGAAAAUUGCUGUUGGAUAGCUCGCUACUUUUCUCUCAAAUAAAUAUUGCCCCAUGGUAUGUUAAGUUGAAACGGUGAAAAAUAGAUCUAAAAAAAAAAAAAAACUAAUAUAGGGAAAAAAAAGAACACACUGAAAUUUACGUAGCUCGGUCAUCGGCCUACAUCCACGGACGAAUAUGGAGCAAAGUCUUUUAUUAAUAUCGAAAGCAGAAUACAAAGAAGAUAUCUCUCGAAAGACGCACGCUUCAAUUACAUCCAAAACUGCGAGAUUUGCGUAUGUACAAAAAAAAACUCCAAAGUGGCUCGAUUCUCUCUCAGCGUACAAAACCAACCUUAGGCUUAAUUAGCCCUAGUAUCAUAGCAAAUAAUCUUGUAUCAGUAUAAGUUACAAAUUUCUAAUACGGUAGAUAAAAAUAAAAAAUUAAGAUCGCAUUUGAAAGCAUAAGCAAAUACAGGUCUAACAAGUCCAAACUAAUUGAAAUCUACCAUAUUGAAGACCAAUAUUGUCAUAAGGUAUAGACCGUAUCUAGUAUAAUUGGAUAAGAACUUAAUAGUUGAUACUCGAAAUGUCAAAUUCAAAACCUAAUUGCUUUAUAUUGGAAUUUUUUUGCAAAUAGUCCCCUGAGCAAUUUUUAUUUUAAAAAUAGUCCUAUUAAAAUUAAAAUUGCAAAUAUGGCCCUGUCCCUGCCACGCAAGGGCCACGUCAGCGCCACGUGGGCAGGGCAGGGGCCAAGGUAUUAAGUUGAACACGGUGAAUCAUUCACCGUGUCUAAACACGGUAAAUGGUUCACCGUGUUUCUUACGUAUUUUUUGUAUAUUGAAAAGUGGAAUAAGGAGUAGGGAUAUCAAUAGGUAUGGAUAUCCGAAAUAUUAUCCGAAUUCAAACAUGUUUAUAUUUCCCCGAAAAAAAUGUAAAUCUGGGGACUGUUUAAAAAUAAAAUUUUUAUCGGGANNNNNNNNNNNNNNNNNNNNNNNNNNNNNNNNNNNNNNNNNNNNNNNNNNGAAUAAAAAUUAUUAAAUAUUUUAUAUAUUGUAUAAAUAAACAAAAAUAAAUUAUGUAUAUAUAUAUAAUUUAUUCGGGUUUGAAUUCGGAUAAUAUUUCGGAUAUCCAUACCUAUUGACAUCCCUACUCCUUAUUCCACUUUUCAAUAUAUAAAAAAUACGUAACAAAAAAUACGUAUUAAACACGGUGAACCAUUCACCGUGUUUGAACACGGUGAAUGGUUCACCGUGUUCAACUUAACACACGGGCUGCCCGCGUGGUGCUGACGUGGCGCCUGCGUGGUAGGCCUAGGGCUAUUUUUGCAAAUUAAAUUUUGACAGGGCUAUUUUUAAAAUAAAAAUUUGUCAGGGGUCUAAAUGUAAAAAAAGCCCCUUUAUAUUUGUAGCUGAGUUUAUAUUUUUCUUUAAAAAAAAACCUACCGAAUAACUUGCUAUAUUUCUUUAAAAAAGUUUUUAACCUGCAGGAGCAUACAUACACACAGACAUGCAAUUCGACAAUGUGGAGUACUCAAACAGUCACUUACCUUGGAUAAGAGAUAGAAGACUCCAAAGAGAACAGCUUGGCCCCCAUGCAGUCAAAAGGAGAUAUGGGAUUUGAGAAGAUUAGUGGAGGGGCAUAAGAGAGACAGAUAGAGCUAGAGAAAUGUAUGGAUUUGAUAGGGAGAGGUUAUUUUUUUGGCUCAAUAAGAUGAUGAGGGGGAGGUGGGUCUCUCUCCCCCUUAAAAUGAGAGGCUCCAAUUCCCCCUCAUCACCCCCCCCUUAAAACCUCUCCCCUCCCUCUCUCUCUCUCUCUCUCUCUCUCUCUCUCUCCCUCCUUAAAACUCCUUGUAUCUCUCUCUAUCUAUCUCUAUACAUGGCUUAAGAAGUAGACUAUGAAUAGAACCUUAUCUCCUAUCCACACUCCUCUCAUCUCUUCUAUACCCUACACCUUUCCUUCACCUACUCAUUCUCUCCUACCCAUUUCAUUCAAGUUCGUUCUUUGUGUCCCAAAUAUAUAAGCUUUUCCCUAUAAGCUAGCUAGCUAUAUAUCCAACCCUCUUGCCCUUAGUUAGAUGUGAGGCACU